Molecule: non-coding RNA, 24 nt
Filed under: Arabidopsis thaliana (thale cress)
Lineage: Eukaryota; Viridiplantae; Streptophyta; Magnoliopsida; Brassicales; Brassicaceae
Source: RNAcentral
UCCGUCGAAUCAUAUACAGGGCCA